Molecule: ribosomal RNA, 27 nt
Filed under: Trichoderma aureoviride
Lineage: Eukaryota; Fungi; Ascomycota; Sordariomycetes; Hypocreales; Hypocreaceae
Description: partial 18S ribosomal RNA
Source: RNAcentral
UCGUGUGCUGUCCGCGGAAGGACAUUU